This is a non-coding RNA of Nitrincola nitratireducens, 120 nucleotides long. NCBI's taxonomy places the organism in Bacteria, Pseudomonadati, Pseudomonadota, Gammaproteobacteria, Oceanospirillales, Oceanospirillaceae. The record is from Rfam.
UGGUUCUGCGCGUCUAUUAACCAGCAACCCUUGGGUUGUGAGCAUAUUGUUAAGGAGAUUCAAAUGGCGUUAAGCGUUGAAAAGAAAGCAGAAAUCGUUGCAAGUUAUGCGCGUGCAGAA